CACGUAGGGGACGAGCGUUGUCCGGAUUCAUUGGGCGUAAAGAGCUCGUAGGCGGUUUGUCGCGUCUGCCGUGAAAGUCCGGGGCUCAACUCCGGAUCUGCGGUGGGUACGGGCAGACUAGAGUGAUGUAGGGGAGACUGGAAUUCCUGGUGUAGCGGUGAAAUGCGCAGAUAUCAGGAGGAACACCGAUGGCGAAGGCAGGUCUCUGGGCAUUAACUGACGCUGAGGAGCGAAAGCAUGGGGAGCGAACAGG
RNAcentral lists this ribosomal RNA (253 nucleotides) under uncultured bacterium. RNAcentral describes it as "partial 16S ribosomal RNA". It matches the Rfam family "Bacterial small subunit ribosomal RNA", at positions 524 to 776 of the family's 1533-position model. The record is from RNAcentral.